RNAcentral lists this transfer RNA (71 nucleotides) under Thermoanaerobaculia bacterium. RNAcentral's name for it is "tRNA-Ser". It matches the Rfam family "tRNA". Rfam says of the family: Transfer RNA (tRNA) molecules are approximately 80 nucleotides in length. Their secondary structure includes four short double-helical elements and three loops (D, anti-codon, and T loops). Lineage: Bacteria; Pseudomonadati; Acidobacteriota; Thermoanaerobaculia. The record is from RNAcentral.
GGAUCCUUAGUUCAAUGGUAGAUCGCCGUUUUGACCUGACGGAGACCCUGGUUCGAUUCCAGGCGGAUCCA